This is a long non-coding RNA of Mugil cephalus (flathead mullet), 516 nucleotides long. RefSeq lists it as uncharacterized. The record is from RefSeq and is a predicted model, not a curated record. NCBI's taxonomy places the organism in Eukaryota, Metazoa, Chordata, Actinopteri, Mugiliformes, Mugilidae. The transcript has 3 exons.
GGGAAAGUGGAGGAGAGUCCCUGAGAACACGGUGUGUCUCUGCGGCGCCGUCGAUCAAACCAGCCUCUGAAAGCCUCGGUGUGCAUCUUUAAGACGAGCAAGGCCGUGCGAGGACAGAGCAGGGAGGUUCCUGGAGAGUCUAAAUGUGAGAACCUGGCUCGGGUGGAGGCGGACAAGGAGAAAGGAGAAAAGAGUCGCCAGGAAAGCAGAAAGCAAAGAGGUAGAACGAAGAGUCAGUUGAUAUCAAAUGAACCUGACGGUGUAACUAAACCGCAGCCAAAGACACAGGAGAGAGUUGGUGUCGUUUGCCGGCUCGGAUCCUUCCAACGUCGACGUCACACAGACUAGAUGGUGGAUCAGCUGAUGAAUUUAUACAGAUUUGACAACCAGCCAGAGUAGGAAAAAAAAAACAUAGCGGUAUCAGAUGACAGCUGACAUAUUGAGUGACACAUUUACAUGAGACAGAGAUCAGCAGACUGACACUCAACUGAGCUGUGAGACAGUCCCUCUGGGAAA